This 498-nucleotide ribosomal RNA is filed under the name uncultured Massilia sp. Its description in RNAcentral is "bacterial SSU rRNA". It matches the Rfam family "Bacterial small subunit ribosomal RNA", at positions 12 to 507 of the family's 1533-position model. Lineage: Bacteria; Pseudomonadati; Pseudomonadota; Betaproteobacteria; Burkholderiales; Oxalobacteraceae. The record is from RNAcentral.
UUUGAUCCUGGCUCAGAUUGAACGCUGGCGGCAUGCUUUACACAUGCAAGUCGAACGGCAGCGCGGGGUAACCUGGCGGCGAGUGGCGAACGGGUGAGUAAUAUAUCGGAACGUACCCAAGAGUGGGGGAUAACGUAGCGAAAGUUACGCUAAUACCGCAUACGAUCUAAGGAUGAAAGUGGGGGAUCGCAAGACCUCAUGCUCCUGGAGCGGCCGAUAUCUGAUUAGCUAGUUGGUGAGGUAAAGGCUCACCAAGGCGACGAUCAGUAGCUGGUCUGAGAGGACGACCAGCCACACUGGGACUGAGACACGGCCCAGACUCCUACGGGAGGCAGCAGUGGGGAAUUUUGGACAAUGGGCGCAAGCCUGAUCCAGCAAUGCCGCGUGAGUGAAGAAGGCCUUCGGGUUGUAAAGCUCUUUUGUCAGGGAAGAAACGGUCGGGGCUAAUAUCCUCGGCUAAUGACGGUACCUGAAGAAUAAGCACCGGCUAACUACGUG